Molecule: unclassified non-coding RNA, 220 nt
Filed under: uncultured Actinomycetes bacterium
Lineage: Bacteria; Bacillati; Actinomycetota; Actinomycetes
Description: uncultured actinobacterium contains 16S-23S intergenic spacer region
Source: RNAcentral
UCCGGUUUGGCACCGGCAGUCUCCCUAGAGUUCCCGGCUUUACCCGCUGGCAACUAAGGACAGGGGUUGCGCUCGUUGCGCCACUUAAGGCAACACCUCACGGCACGAGCUGACGACAGCCAUGCACCACCUGUGCGGGCUCCGAGGAGCGCCGUAUCUCUACGGUUUCACCCCGCAUGUCAAGCCCAGGUAAGGUGGGGAUGACGUAGAACGGUUGGUU